CCCGACUGCUAUCGGAUUGGGAUUUAGCCAUGUUAGUUGUGCGUUCCUUGGCUACAGGGGACGCAGCAUACGGCUCAGUAACACGUAGUCAACCUGCCCUGGAGACGCGGACAAACCCGGGAAACUGGGGCCUAUCCGCGAUAGAUGACCUCAUCUGGAAGGAGAGGUCGUCCAAAAGGGUGCACGGGUAUGCUCUGUGCAAACCGCUCCAGGAUGGGACUGCGGCCGAUCAGGCUGUUGGCGGGGUAAUGGCCCACCAAACCUGUAACCGGUACGGGCUUUGAGAGAAGGAGCCCGGAGAUGGACACUGAGACAAGGGUCCAGGCCCUACGGGGCGCAUCAGGCGCGAAAACUUCGCAAUACGCGAAAGCGUGACGAGGCUAGUCCGAGCGCUUCCUGCUAAAGGGAGCCUUUCUCGGCUGUAAAUGUGUAACAGCGACGCCCCAGGCC
Molecule: ribosomal RNA, 450 nt
Filed under: uncultured archaeon
Lineage: Archaea
Description: bacterial SSU rRNA
Rfam family: Archaeal small subunit ribosomal RNA
Source: RNAcentral